RNAcentral lists this long non-coding RNA (3876 nucleotides) under Hordeum vulgare. RNAcentral describes it as "long non-coding RNA (HVUL_LNC017185)". The record is from RNAcentral. Lineage: Eukaryota; Viridiplantae; Streptophyta; Magnoliopsida; Poales; Poaceae.
UGUAGAGAACAGAUUGAGUUGAACUUUUUGUCUUCUCUGUUUUUUCUAAGUUGUAAUCUGUCGAUGAUUCUUGAACCAGACUUUCCAAUAUUUCAUUCAUUUUUGUUGUUCUGCAGAUGUAAACUACAGCUGUUUCGCCGCGACAAGUAAAAAUUAUGUGAAGCAAGCUGGACAAUAGCAAGGAGCGAAAAUGGCAUCUUGAUCUGAACUGGGUGGCCUGCCCUGUGGAUCUCAGUGCUUCAAUUAAUUACCGAGACAGGAGGAAUAAAACGGGGCGGUCUUGGCAAAUGGUGGAUCUGCCGCAUUCAUCAUUCCGUGAUACACAUGGGAUGAGCACAAUAAUGAUGUAAGUACCUGGAUCAUUUUAAUUCCCUUUCACUGCAAUUGCAUAUAGCUUCUCUAUUUGUUUUGCUUGGGAGCAAAAGGCCAUAUAUAUGUGCAUCAUUGUUGAGAUACUAUUAUAUUUUGCACGCGAGAGAUAUGCAGUGUGAAAACAGCAUAGUAGAAGCAAAGAUUAGUUAGGAAGAUCCGUAGAAUGGCUGCAUGCAUGAUGGGUCCUCACAUGAGAGCUUUCACGCAGGCAUCAUUUUAUCUUCCUCUGCAAACAAACAUCACCAUCUCCCAUCUGUCCCUCCCUCCUCACUUAAUUAUUCGCCCCCCGCCCCCCUCAUCUCAUCCUCUCGAGUCCCUGCCUUUUCCACACCAUCUUUUCAACCUCAUACACGCGCGCAUAAUUAUAUCAUAUUGUGUUCCCCCCGGCUUUCUUCUCCUCUGACAUUCCGGUCAGUACGCUUCAUGCAUGUGUUCCAUCAUGCCCGCUGCUUCGCACAAGCUGAGCAGCACUGAGUGGUGAGAGGUGAGAUUGCGGUGCGUGCAUGGCUUGCGGUCAAGUAUAGGGUUCGUUCUUGCAUGCACUAUAUAAGCCAGGCAGUCGGCCAGCCGGAAGUUAAGUUGGUGGGAGGCAAUGCAUGUCAUUGCUGCUCUUAUGCGUGUUUGCCAUCCUCUUAAAGCAGUGGCUGGGAAGCAUGCAUACAUCCCCUGCUUCGCCGGUACCACGCACUCAGGGCCGUAAGCGGUCGCUGUCGAUCUCAUCUCGGGCUUUCUGGCUUGUCUCUAAUGCUGCCAUCUACAUGGUGCUUCAGCAUCAUCCUUGAGCCAUAAUCACCAGCUUGUUAUAUGUGGUAGGUGAGUUCCGUAUAUGCAUUACUGUUCUUCCCUUAUUGCCACGUCGUUAGUUAGCCUGGUUAAUAUGUGUGGGCUUGUGGUUGACAUUUCCUCUCUUUUUUCAUUCUUCUCCAGACAGUCAUUCCUUUACCUCUAGCUCUUUUUGUCGAAAAACACUUCGCCUUUGUGGCUCAGUAUACAACCAGCCCAGGGCCCUAUAGAUUAUAUGCUUUGCUUUUUAAACCCAUUUGUUACCUUUGUAAGUUGCUGUUUGAAUGUCUCAUGAAACAAGAGCGACUGUUUUCCCUGAGUGGUAGAGCUACCUUGUUCCUAUUAACAUAAAGUACGUGUGAUGUAGAUAACUAGUUGGACUUGGACAGAAGAUUUUUAGUACCUGUCAUUCCAGGCUGAGCUAUAUAUAUCUGAAGACAUUAUCACAGAUAAUUUCAUAGUAAGCAGUUCUAUAGGUCAUUCCUGUCAAAUAUAUGAUGUCAAGUUUAGUUAGUUUUCUUCUCUCUAGCAUACCUAUCCAACAUGAUAUAACGGGACUGUUCUGUAUCAUGAUCUGGAGAAAUUCUUCCAUGCAUGUCUGUUUUCUUCUCCAGUAUGUUCCUUAUGAUUGAACUUAACCGCCUCGCUGAUCUAAGUCGUGUGUUUCUUUACUCAUUCCCUGCGACUAUAACGCCAUGUUGAGUUUCUGUUGUCUACAUGCUUUUGGCGUCAGUUAUUUGCUAGUACCCAGAAGUAGCAGAGACCUACAUUUCGUCGCUGAUUCUGUGAGUUAUUUCAGGACUUUGACAUAUAGAAUGUUUGAUCUAUAAGUGUUUAUUUAUUUAUUUAGGUACGAUCGUAGCAAAGUAGAACAUAGCCUGUAUCAAACUAGCUAGAUAAAACAAUGUGAAGAACAUGUGGGACUAACAUUUCAGGCCCAUGCAUUACUAACUGUUGAAGUUAAGACUUCAUAUAAUAUAUGCACCCCAGGGACCUAGAUAAUUUUCUUGGUGGUCCUCGUGAACACACUUUUUUUAAGCAAGCUAGCUACCAUUAUACGUAUAUAUAAUCAAAUAUACAGCAUGCAUGUAAUCAUAAAUACUUCAUCCCAUAGCCCUUUGUUUCUGUAAAAGAAUUAGCUGAUGAUGAACUAAAUGCAUACUCAUAUGCACCCAUAUAGAGAAGAAUGAUGGCUCACCCUUCAGACCACAGAGGGAGAAUGAUUAGUCAUACUUAUUAAGAUUAAGUAAGUGUUUACGUUAUUUACAUCUUUGCCUAAUUUAUUUGAAUGUAAUAUUGGUGUCUUAUGUGAUCUAGUUAUUCUGAACAAUCUUUGCUAAAUUAACUGGAAGAUCUUCACGUUGUCAUUUGUACUUGUUAUUGUGAAAGUACUAGAAACAUGUAAGGCUAAACAUCUUCUUAGCAGUCUGCUGAAUAUUUUUGUUCUCUGACAUGAGGCUUAUAGCAACGGGCAACAAAUGUAGAACUAAAUGUCAUGUUAUAAAAAUGAGCACAGUUGGUGUUCGAGCAUAUAUAUUGGCACAACUGGGCAUAUGGCUAUCAAGUUCGUUGAAAUACCAACAGAUUAAAAUUCCAGAAUUGAACUGCGUUGCCUUCUACAAAUCAUAAUUCAUGAAGCCUUUAUGUUCUCCAUGAUAUUAUUUCAUAUAUAUAGCAACACAGAGAUAUGUAAUUGUAUAUUUAGUACAAUGUCCCCUGAAGCACGUAAGCAGCACAACACUACACACAGCAUAUGUAAUAGUCUUAUUUACACGGCGUUAUGUAACUCAAAAUACUUAUCUGUCCAAUAAUUGAUAUAUGAUCAUCAUCCUUAUUGUAACUCCUUAAUAUAAUAAUUAUAGAUGGGAUGCUAGUAUAUCCGAUUGGUGCUGCUGCUCAUCACUUCCAUGGAUCAACUUGACUGCUCGAUGUUGAGGUCGACGCGUAAUCAGUUGCUACCUCUUGCACCUUCUCGUUGAGCUGAAGAAUGUCUCCUUCAUGAGCAUAAUCGACACCCUUGGCUGCAUCGUUACUAAGCUGAGAUGCAACGAACUUGUCCAGAACUCUCCAGUCGGUGGCAGCUUGGUCGUCGACGGCAUGGUCAAUAAGUUGAACAUGGUGGUGCUGGGCAUGGUGCACAUUGAUCUGGUGAUCGUCUUGCGAUACCAAAAGAGAGUGGAAGGAAGAAGGGCUCUCUAGCUCGUGAGGAAUGGUGUUGAGAACAUGAUGAUGGUUUGGCAUUUGGUACUGUAGCUUCAGCUCUCUCUUGUAGGUGUUGUUGAGCAUCUGGAGGUGCUGUUCUUGCAGCGCCAUGCUGUGAUGAGGCGGCAUUCNNNNNNNNNNNNNNNNNNNNNNNNNNNNNNNNNNNNNNNNNNNNNNNNNNNNNNNNNNNNNNNNNNNNNNNNNNNNNNNNNNNNNNNNNNNNNNNNNNNNNNNNNNNNNNNNNNNNNNNNNNNNNNNNNNNNNNNNNNNNNCCAUUCCUCUCAUCGGAGAAUUUAGAUCAUGCAUGAAGGGCCCAUCGUCAUCAACAUACCAGCAUGGUGCAUCAUGGUCUAAAUCUCUUCUUGUUGUGGGCAAUCUCUUCUUGAACACCCUGCAUACUACCCAUCCUUCCUCCUGAAAUUUACAAAAUUAAUUAGACUAUAUUAAUCUGUUGAGUAGCAGCUUGCAGGGUUUAUAUUCGAGUCAAGAUUGAUGGAACGAGAUCGAUGUAUAUAAAAU